This 292-nucleotide ribosomal RNA is filed under the name uncultured bacterium. RNAcentral's name for it is "partial 16S ribosomal RNA". It matches the Rfam family "Bacterial small subunit ribosomal RNA", at positions 505 to 796 of the family's 1533-position model. The record is from RNAcentral.
GUGCCAGCAGCCGCGGUAAGACGAACCGUGCGAACGUUGUUCGGAAUCACUGGGCUUAAAGGGCGCGUAGGCGGCUCAUCAAGUCGGGGGUGAAAUCUUUCGGCUCAACCGGAAAAGUGCCUUCGAUACUGACGAGCUCGAGCGAGGUAGGGGCAGCUGGAACUUCCGGUGGAGCGGUGAAAUGCGUUGAUAUCGGAAGGAACGCCGGUGGCGAAAGCGAGCUGCUGGACCUCUUCUGACGCUGAUGCGCGAAAGCCAGGGGAGCAAACGGGAUUAGAUACCCUCGUAGUCC